CCUACGGGUGGCAGCAGUGGGGAAUAUUGGGCAAUGGGCGCAAGCCUGACCCAGCAACGCCGCGUGAGCGAUGAAGGUCUUCGGAUUGUAAAGCUCUGUCGCAGGGGACGAAGUAUGACGGUACCCUGUAAGAAAGCCCCGGCAAACUACGUGCCAGCAGCCGCGGUAAUACGGAGGAUGCGAGCGUUAUCCGGAUUUAUUGGGUUUAAAGGGUGCGCAGGCGGAAGAUCAAGUCAGCGGUAAAAUUGAGAGGCUCAACCUCUUCGAGCCGUUGAAACUGGUUUUCUUGAGUGAGCGAGAAGUAUGCGGAAUGCGUGGUGUAGCGGUGAAAUGCAUAGAUAUCACGCAGAACUCCGAUUGCGAAGGCAGCAUACCGGCGCUCAACUGACGCUCAUGCACGAAAGUGUGGGUAUCGAACAGGAUUAGAUACCCCUGUAGUC
Molecule: ribosomal RNA, 440 nt
Filed under: uncultured bacterium
Lineage: Bacteria
Description: partial 16S ribosomal RNA
Rfam family: Bacterial small subunit ribosomal RNA
Source: RNAcentral